GACGAACGCUGGCGGCGUGCUUAACACAUGCAAGUCGAACGGAAAGGCCCUGCUUUUGUGGGGUGCUCGAGUGGCGAACGGGUGAGUAACACGUGAGUAACCUGCCCUUGACUUUGGGAUAACUUCAGGCAACUGGGGCUAAUACCGGAUAGGAGCUCCUGCUGCAUGGUGGGGGUUGGAAAGUUUCGGCGGUGGGGGAUGGACUCGCGGCUUAUCAGCUUGUUGGUGGGGUAGUGGCUUACCAAGGGUUUGACGGGUAGCCGGCCUGAGAGGGUGAACGGCGACAUGGGGACUACGGUACGGAGCAGUCGCGUACGGGAGGCAGCAGUCGGGAAUAUUGCACAGUGAGGGGAAGCGUGAUGCAGAGGCGCCGCGUGCGGGAUGACGGCUUACGGGUUGUAAACCGCUUUCGCCUGAGACGAAGCGGGAGUGACGGUAAUGAGUAAAGAAGCACCGGCUAACUACGUG
RNAcentral lists this ribosomal RNA (468 nucleotides) under uncultured bacterium. Its description in RNAcentral is "partial 16S ribosomal RNA". It matches the Rfam family "Bacterial small subunit ribosomal RNA", at positions 28 to 507 of the family's 1533-position model. The record is from RNAcentral.